UAGUGGACUUGGUCGGGGUGAGUUGGU
This 27-nucleotide non-coding RNA is filed under the name Rattus norvegicus (Norway rat). Lineage: Eukaryota; Metazoa; Chordata; Mammalia; Rodentia; Muridae. The record is from RNAcentral.